RNAcentral lists this ribosomal RNA (542 nucleotides) under bacterium. Its description in RNAcentral is "bacterial SSU rRNA". It matches the Rfam family "Bacterial small subunit ribosomal RNA", at positions 68 to 601 of the family's 1533-position model. The record is from RNAcentral. RNAcentral also lists the same sequence under 1 other name.
GGGACAGGAAGCAGCUUGCUGCUUCGCUGACGAGUGGCGGACGGGUGAGUAAUGUCUGGGAAGCCGCCUGAUGGAGGGGGAUAACUACUGGAAACGGUAGCUAAUACCGCAUAAUGUCGCAAGACCAAAGAGGGGGACCUUCGGGCCUCUUGCCAUCGGAUGUGCCCAGAUGGGAUUAGCUUGUUGGUGGGGUAACGGCUCACCAAGGCGACGAUCCCUAGCUGGUCUGAGAGGAUGACCAGCCACACUUGGAACUGAGACACGGUCCAGACUCCUACGGGAGGCAGCAGUGGGGAAUAUUGCACAAUGGGCGCAAGCCUGAUGCAGCCAUGCCGCGUGUAUGAAGAAGGCCUUCGGGUUGUAAAGUACUUUCAGCGGGGAGGAAGGGAGUAAAGUAAUACCUUUGCUCAUUGACGUACCCGAGAAGAAGCACCGGCUUACUCCGUGCCAGCAGCCGCGGUAAUACCGGAGGGUGCAAGCGUUAAUCGGAAUUACUGGGCGUAAGGAAGAAGCCGGUUGUAAGCAAAUGAAUCCGGCUAACA